CGGCGCGGGGUCGGCUGGGAGAUGGAGUGCAGAGCCUGGUGGAGGCGGGAGGGCUUUGUCUCGCAGGGACUACAACUCCCAGAAUGCACCGCCACUCGGGUUUUGCUGCUUCCAUCCUCGGGCCGCUUUGCGUUUGGUCUUGCUCAAGUCGCCUCUGUCGGACGACGGUGGGCUGGCCUCCUCCAAAGCCGCGGAUUUGGCUGCCUGUCCUGCUGAGGCGCCAGUGAGAUUUCAACCAUUACUCCGUAUACAAAGUCGUUUUGUUUCUAGCCGUGAUCGAUGAAGUACGCCCAGGGAGGAAAGAGGAGGCGGCUGCCUGAAAAACUGGUUGCUCGUGCACCCAGCCCUGUUGCCGGGGGCGAAGGUUGGAUAUUGGGGACUUGGAGGAAGUACUCAGGUCCUUGCCGAAGACACAGGCAAGUAAUGUGCAGAUGACAAGGCUCAAGGGAGGCACAUCUCACAUGUGGACGUGAAAACUCAAUCAUCAAGCUUAUGAACCACAAAAGGAUCUAGAAAAGUUUUAAACAUAUGAAACAAUUCUGUGUCCAUGCUUCUGUGCAGGUGCAGAGCUUUCUUUACACAAAGCAGAAGACAUGGUCAAGGAAAGGACGUGAUUUCCAGAGUCUGUUUCUACUACUGUGCUGAAAGUACAAAUACUUUGAAGAAAUGUAGAAAGUUGAUUUAAAGUCAUAAUACAUUGUAAGUGAGUAUU
This is a long non-coding RNA of Symphalangus syndactylus (siamang), 712 nucleotides long. RefSeq lists it as uncharacterized. NCBI's taxonomy places the organism in Eukaryota, Metazoa, Chordata, Mammalia, Primates, Hylobatidae. The record is from RefSeq and is a predicted model, not a curated record.